GACGAACGCUGGCGGCGUGCUUAACACAUGCAAGUCGAACGGAAAGGCCCUGCUUUUGUGGGGUGCUCGAGUGGCGAACGGGUGAGUAACACGUGAGUAACCUGCCCUUGACUUUGGGAUAACUUCAGGAAACUGGGGCUAAUACCGGAUAGGAGCUCCUGCUGCAUGGUGGGGGUUGGAAAGUUUCGGCGGUUGGGGAUGGACUCGCGGCUUAUCAGCUUGUUGGUGGGGUAGUGGCUUACCAAGGCUUUGACGGGUAGCCGGCCUGAGAGGGUGACCGGCCACAUUGGGACUGAGAUACGGCCCAGACUCCUACGGGAGGCAGCAGUGGGGAAUAUUGCACAAUGGGCGGAAGCCUGAUGCAGCAACGCCGCGUGCGGGAUGACGGCCUUCGGGUUGUAAACCGCUUUCGCCUGUGACGAAGCGUGAGUGACGGUAAUGGGUAAAGAAGCACCGGCUAACUACGUGCCAGCAGCCGCGGUGAUACGUAGGGUGCGAGCGUUGUCCGGAUUUAUUGGGCGUAAAGGGCUCGUAGGUGGUUGAUCGCGUCGGAAGUGUAAUCUUGGGGCUUAACCCUGAGCGUGCUUUCGAUACGGGUUGACUUGAGGAAGGUAGGGGAGAAUGGAAUUCCUGGUGGAGCGGUGGAAUGCGCAGAUAUCAGGAGGAACACCAGUGGCGAAGGCGGUUCUCUGGGCCUUUCCUGACGCUGAGGAGCGAAAGCGUGGGGAGCGAACAGGCUUAGAUACCCUGGUAGUCCACGCUGUAAACGGUGGGUACUAGGUGUGGGGUCCAUUCCACGGGUUCCGUGCCGUAGCUAACGCUUUAAGUACCCCGCCUGGGGAGUACGGCCGCAAGGCUAAAACUCAAAGGAAUUGACGGGGCCCCGCACAAGCGGCGGAGCAUGCGGAUUAAUUCGAUGCAACGCGUGGAACCUUACCUGGGUUUGACAUGGAUCGGGAGUGCUCAGAGAUGGGUGUGCCUCUUUUGGGGUCGGUUCACAGGUGGUGCAUGGCUGUCGUCAGCUCGUGUCGUGAGAUGUUGGGUUAAGUCCCGCAACGAGCGCAACCCUUGUUCACUGUUGCCAGCACGUUAUGGUGGGGACUCAGUGGAGACCGCCGGGGUCAACUCGGAGGAAGGUGGGGAUGACGUCAAGUCAUCAUGCCUCUUAUGUCCAGGGCUUCACGCAUGCUACAAUGGCUGGUACAGAGAGUGGCGAGCCUGUGAGGGUGAGCGAAUCUCGGAAAGUCGGUCUCAGUUCGGAUUGGGGUCUGCAACUCGACCUCAUGAAGUCGGAGUCGCUAGUAAUCGCAGAUCAGCAACGCUGCGGUGAAUACGUUCCCGGGGCU
Molecule: ribosomal RNA, 1346 nt
Filed under: uncultured bacterium
Lineage: Bacteria
Description: partial 16S ribosomal RNA
Rfam family: Bacterial small subunit ribosomal RNA
Source: RNAcentral